UACGGAGGUGGCAAGCGUUGCUCGGAAUCACUGGGCGUAAAGGGCGCGUAGGCGGGGAGGUAAGUCGGGUGUGAAAUCCCUCGGCCCAACUGAGGAACUGCGCCCGAGACUGCUUCUCUUGAGUCCCGGAGAGGAAGAUGGAAUUCCCGGUGUAGCGGUGAAAUGUGUAGAUAUUGGGAAGAACACCAGUGGCGAAGGCGGCUCACUGGCCCGUAACUGACGCUGAGGUGCGAAAGCGUGGGGAGCAAACAGG
This 253-nucleotide ribosomal RNA is filed under the name uncultured bacterium. RNAcentral describes it as "partial 16S ribosomal RNA". It matches the Rfam family "Bacterial small subunit ribosomal RNA", at positions 524 to 776 of the family's 1533-position model. The record is from RNAcentral.